RNAcentral lists this ribosomal RNA (434 nucleotides) under uncultured Lachnospiraceae bacterium. RNAcentral's name for it is "bacterial SSU rRNA". It matches the Rfam family "Bacterial small subunit ribosomal RNA", at positions 341 to 792 of the family's 1533-position model. The record is from RNAcentral. Lineage: Bacteria; Bacillati; Bacillota; Clostridia; Lachnospirales; Lachnospiraceae.
ACGGGAGGCAGCAGUGGGGAAUAUUGCACAAUGGGGGAAACCCUGAUGCAGCGACGCCGCGUGAGUGAAGAAGUUUUUCGGAAUGUAAAGCUCUAUCAGCAGGGAAGAUAAUGACGGUACCUGACUAAGAAGCCCCGGCUAACUACGUGCCAGCAGCCGCGGUAAUACGUAGGGGGCAAGCGUUAUCCGGAUUUACUGGGUGUAAAGGGAGCGCAGACGGAACAGCAAGUCUGAGGUGAAAUCAUAGGGCUCAACCCUGUAACUGCCUUGGAAACUGUUGAUCUUGAGUACUGGAGGGGUAGGCGGAAUUCCUGGUGUAGCGGUGAAAUGCGUAGAUAUCAGGAAGAACACCGGUGGCGAAGGCGGCCUACUGGACAGUAACUGACGUUCAGGCUCGAAAGCGUGGGGAGCAAACAGGAUUAGAUACCCUGGUA